GACGAACGCUGGCGGCGUGCUUAACACAUGCAAGUCGAACGGUGAAGCGCCUUCCUUUUUGGUGGGUGUGGAUGAGUGGCGAACGGGUGAGUAACACGUGAGUAGCCUGCCCCCUUCUUCUGGAUAACCGCAUGAAAGUGUGGCUAAUACGGGAUAUUCUGGGUCUGUCGCAUGAUGGGUCUGGGAAAGAUAUUGUUUCGGUGGGGGAUGGGCUCGCGGCCUAUCAGCUUGUUGGUGGGGUGAUGGCCUACCAAGGCGGUGACGGGUAGCCGGCCUGAGAGGGUGGACGGUCACACUGGGACUGAGACACGGCCCAGACUCCUACGGGAGGCAGCAGUGGGGAAUAUUGCACAAUGGGCGCAAGCCUGAUGCAGCGACGCCGCGUGAGGGAUGGAGGCCUGCGGGUUGUGAACCUCUUUCGCCAGUGAAGCAGGCCUGCCUCGUUUGUGGGCGGGUUGACGGUAGCUGGAUAAGAAGCGCCGGCUAACUACGUG
This 494-nucleotide ribosomal RNA is filed under the name uncultured bacterium. Its description in RNAcentral is "partial 16S ribosomal RNA". It matches the Rfam family "Bacterial small subunit ribosomal RNA", at positions 28 to 507 of the family's 1533-position model. The record is from RNAcentral.